CCGUAACUAUAACGGUCCUAAGGUAGCGAAAUUCCUUGUCGGGUAAGUUCCGACCCGCACGAAAGGCGUAAUGAUUUGGGCACUGUCUCAACAAUGCACCCGGUGAAAUUGAAAUACCAGUGAAGAUGCUGGUUACCUGCGCCAGGACGGAAAGACCCCAUGGAGCUUUACUCCAGCUUGAUACUGGGAUUCGGUAUUGCAUGUACAGGAUAGGUGGGAGGCUUUGAAGCGGUGACGCCAGUUGCCGUGGAGCUGCUGUUGGGAUACCACCCUUGCAGUACUGGGUUUCUAACCAGCAGCCGUGAUCCGGCUGGGGGACAAUGUCAGGUGGGGAGUUUGACUGGGGCGGUCGCCUCCGAAAGGGUAUCGGAGGCGCUCAAAGGUUCCCUCAGAAUGGUUGGAAACCAUUCGAAGAGUGCAAAGGCAGAAGGGAGCUUGACUGCGACACCGACGGGUGGAGCAGGUACGAAAGUAGGACUUAGUGAUCCGGUGGUAUAAAGUGGGAUUGCCAUCGCUCAACGGAUAAAAGCUACCCUGGGGAUAACAGGCUUAUCACUCCCAAGAGUUCACAUCGACGGAGUGGUUUGGCACCUCGAUGUCGGCUCAUCGCAUCCUGGGGCUGAAGUAGGUCCCAAGGGUUGGGCUGUUCGCCCAUUAAAGCGGUACGCGAGCUGGGUUCAGAACGUCGUGAGACAGUUCGGUCCCUAUCCGGCGUGGGCGUAGGAUAUUUGAGAGGAGCUGUCCUUAGUACGAGAGGACCGGGAUGGACACACCGCUGGUGUACCAGUUGUUCUGCCAAGAGCAUCGCUGGGUAGCUAUGUGUGGACGGGAUAAACGCUGAAAGCAUCUAAGCGUGAAGCCGGCCUUAAGAUAAGAUAUCCCACUGAGUCAAUCAGGUAAGACCCCUUGAAGACUACAAGGUUGAUAGGCACACAGUGUAAGCGGAGUGAUCCGUUCAGCUAGCGUGUACUAAUAGGUCGAGGGCUUGACCAC
RNAcentral lists this ribosomal RNA (993 nucleotides) under human gut metagenome. RNAcentral describes it as "bacterial LSU rRNA". It matches the Rfam family "Bacterial large subunit ribosomal RNA", at positions 1934 to 2925 of the family's 2925-position model. The record is from RNAcentral.